This 1895-nucleotide ribosomal RNA is filed under the name Escherichia coli. RNAcentral describes it as "partial 23S ribosomal RNA". It matches the Rfam family "Bacterial large subunit ribosomal RNA", at positions 333 to 2215 of the family's 2925-position model. The record is from RNAcentral. Lineage: Bacteria; Pseudomonadati; Pseudomonadota; Gammaproteobacteria; Enterobacterales; Enterobacteriaceae.
UGGAAGCGUCUGGAAAGGCGCGCGAUACAGGGUGACAGCCCCGUACACAAAAAUGCACAUACUGUGAGCUCGAUGAGUAGGGCGGGACACGUGGUAUCCUGUCUGAAUAUGGGGGGACCAUCCUCCAAGGCUAAAUACUCCUGACUGACCGAUAGUGAACCAGUACCGUGAGGGAAAGGCGAAAAGAACCCCGGCGAGGGGAGUGAAAAAGAACCUGAAACCGUGUACGUACAAGCAGUGGGAGCACGCUUCGGCGUGUGACUGCGUACCUUUUGUAUAAUGGGUCAGCGACUUAUAUUCUGUAGCAAGGUUAACCGAAUAGGGGAGCCGAAGGGAAACCGAGUCUUAACUGGGCGUUAAGUUGCAGGGUAUAGACCCGAAACCCGGUGAUCUAGCCAUGGGCAGGUUGAAGGUUGGGUAACACUAACUGGAGGACCGAACCGACUAAUGUUGAAAAAUUAGCGGAUGACUUGUGGCUGGGGGUGAAAGGCCAAUCAAACCGGGAGAUAGCUGGUUCUCCCCGAAAGCUAUUUAGGUAGCGCCUCGUGAAUUCAUCUCCGGGGGUAGAGCACUGUUUCGGCAAGGGGGUCAUCCCGACUUACCAACCCGAUGCAAACUGCGAAUACCGGAGAAUGUUAUCACGGGAGACACACGGCGGGUGCUAACGUCCGUCGUGAAGAGGGAAACAACCCAGACCGCCAGCUAAGGUCCCAAAGUCAUGGUUAAGUGGGAAACGAUGUGGGAAGGCCCAGACAGCCAGGAUGUUGGCUUAGAAGCAGCCAUCAUUUAAAGAAAGCGUAAUAGCUCACUGGUCGAGUCGGCCUGCGCGGAAGAUGUAACGGGGCUAAACCAUGCACCGAAGCUGCGGCAGCGACACUAUGUGUUGUUGGGUAGGGGAGCGUUCUGUAAGCCUGUGAAGGUGUGCUGUGAGGCAUGCUGGAGGUAUCAGAAGUGCGAAUGCUGACAUAAGUAACGAUAAAGCGGGUGAAAAGCCCGCUCGCCGGAAGACCAAGGGUUCCUGUCCAACGUUAAUCGGGGCAGGGUGAGUCGACCCCUAAGGCGAGGCCGAAAGGCGUAGUCGAUGGGAAACAGGUUAAUAUUCCUGUACUUGGUGUUACUGCGAAGGGGGGACGGAGAAGGCUAUGUUGGCCGGGCGACGGUUGUCCCGGUUUAAGCGUGUAGGCUGGUUUUCCAGGCAAAUCCGGAAAAUCAAGGCUGAGGCGUGAUGACGAGGCACUACGGUGCUGAAGCAACAAAUGCCCUGCUUCCAGGAAAAGCCUCUAAGCAUCAGGUAACAUUAAAUCGUACCCCAAACCGACACAGGUGGUCAGGUAGAGAAUACCAAGGCGCUUGAGAGAACUCGGGUGAAGGAACUAGGCAAAAUGGUGCCGUAACUUCGGGAGAAGGCACGCUGAUAUGUAGGUGAAGUCCCUCGCGGAUGGAGCUGAAAUCAGUCGAAGAUACCAGCUGGCUGCAACUGUUUAUUAAAAACACAGCACUGUGCAAACACGAAAGUGGACGUAUACGGUGUGACGCCUGCCCGGUGCCGGAAGGUUAAUUGAUGGGGUUAGCGGUAACGCGAAGCUCUUGAUCGAAGCCCCGGUAAACGGCGGCCGUAACUAUAACGGUCCUAAGGUAGCGAAAUUCCUUGUCGGGUAAGUUCCGACCUGCACGAAUGGCGUAAUGAUGGCCAGGCUGUCUCCACCCGAGACUCAGUGAAAUUGAACUCGCUGUGAAGAUGCAGUGUACCCGCGGCAAGACGGAAAGACCCCGUGAACCUUUACUAUAGCUUGACACUGAACAUUGAGCCUUGAUGUGUAGGAUAGGUGGGAGGCUUUGAAGUGUGGACGCCAGUCUGCAUGGAGCCGACCUUGAAAUACCACCCUUUAAUGUUU